RNAcentral lists this ribosomal RNA (413 nucleotides) under uncultured bacterium. RNAcentral's name for it is "bacterial SSU rRNA". It matches the Rfam family "Bacterial small subunit ribosomal RNA", at positions 32 to 457 of the family's 1533-position model. The record is from RNAcentral.
AAUCAACGCUGGCGGCGUGCCUAACACAUGCAAGUCGAACGAGAAAGUGGAGCAAUCCAUGAGUAAAGUGGCGCACGGGUGAGUAACACGUGACUAACCUACCCUUGAGUGGGGGAUAACCUAGGGAAACCUGGGCUAAUACCGCAUAAUACCUACGGGUCAAAGGAGCAAUUCGCUUUAGGAGGGGGUCGCGGCAGAUUAGUUAGUUGGCGGGGUAAUGGCCCACCAAGACGAUGACUGUAUCCGGCCUGAGAGGGCGCACGGACACACUGGAACUGAAACACGGUCCAGACUCCUACGGGAGGCAGCAGUGGGGAAUUUUGCGCAAUGGGGGAACCCUGACGCAGCAACGCCGCGUGGAGGAUGAAGACCCUUGGGUCGUAAACUCCUUUCGAUCGGGACGAUAAUGACGG